ACGUUCGCCACUUGUUCCGCAUGCGUGAGAGGUCCUCACCUAUAAAUAGAGGUAGUGGCUCUUCAUUUUUGGGAGAAGGAGGAGUUCCCGAAGGUGAAGAAGCUCUGCCGGAAACCGUUUGCCGUUGUUCUGCCGUUGCCGAGAAGAAUCACCGAGAGAUCUGAUUAGCCUUCAAGAUCUGUAACCAUUAGUUGGGUCGCUUUAGAGGGAGUUUGGACGUGUAGGCCGCUGGUGUAGUUUGUUGUUGCUUUUUCUUAAGACGUAUGUUUCUGUUUAGUUGUUUAUGAUGCUUUUGUUGCUUUUUGGUAUUUGCCUUAAGUCAUGACUCGGUAAAACUGGAUUUUUGUAUUAACGUUGUUUUAUUAUUAUUAUUAAAUAAAGUUAUGUUUAAUUA
Molecule: long non-coding RNA, 394 nt
Organism: Arabidopsis lyrata subsp. lyrata
Lineage: Eukaryota; Viridiplantae; Streptophyta; Magnoliopsida; Brassicales; Brassicaceae
Exons: 2
Source: RefSeq, a predicted model, not a curated record